GCUGGGCGCUGUGGUGCUCGCCUGUAAUCCCAGCAUCUGGGGAGGCUAAGGCAGGAGGAUCCUGAGUUUGAAGCCAUCCUCUGCAACUAAUCGAGAGGCCCUAAGCAACUCAGUAAGACCUUGUCUCUA
This 129-nucleotide small RNA is filed under the name Marmota monax (woodchuck). Lineage: Eukaryota; Metazoa; Chordata; Mammalia; Rodentia; Sciuridae. The record is from RNAcentral.